RNAcentral lists this ribosomal RNA (253 nucleotides) under uncultured bacterium. Its description in RNAcentral is "partial 16S ribosomal RNA". It matches the Rfam family "Bacterial small subunit ribosomal RNA", at positions 524 to 776 of the family's 1533-position model. The record is from RNAcentral.
UACGUAGGGUGCGAGCGUUAAUCGGAAUUACUGGGCGUAAAGCGUGCGCAGGCGGUGAUGUAAGACCGAUGUGAAAUCCCCGGGCUUAACCUGGGAACUGCAUUGGUGACUGCAUUGCUGGAGUAUGGCAGAGGGGGGUGGAAUUCCACGUGUAGCAGUGAAAUGCGUAGAGAUGUGGAGGAGCACCGAUGGCGAAGGCAGCCCCCUGGGCCAAUACUGACGCUCAUGCACGAAAGCGUGGGGAGCAAACAGG